CUUUCACACCCAGACUGAGACCCAAGGGACCAAAGAUUCAUAAAAGGGUUAGUCACUGCAUAAAGGCAAAGAGGAAUCUGAAUAGCUGCCUGGUGCAACUACAAGAUAGAAAAGCACAAACAUGUACAUUAUACAUAUUAAGCCAUAAGUACCUGCAGAUACAUAUAUAUUGAAGUUUUAGAACAUGGAACAUGAAAUUACAGAAAUUCCAGAUUUUUUCCAAACCUAAAAAACUGUAGGGUCAGGUGCGAAAAAUUAAGGAUAUUAGAACAAAAUAAGAAGAAUAAUUGUCAAGUGCCCACUGAUGCUGGAGUCCAUGCUGUAGAAAAGACAUGAAACAGAAGUGAGAAAAUGUCGACAUCAGUCAUCUAUGAAGAUGGAGAUUGCCUCUAUUCUAAAAUUUCCGAGGAAAAUGGUGUUGUCUGCCUCAUCCAAUGAUCACUCCAUUUGCAGACU
Molecule: long non-coding RNA, 456 nt
Organism: Saccostrea cuccullata (small rock oyster)
Lineage: Eukaryota; Metazoa; Mollusca; Bivalvia; Ostreida; Ostreidae
Exons: 4
Source: RefSeq, a predicted model, not a curated record